GAGACUGUAUGAUCUAGACCAAGACAAUACAAGAUUAGAGUCAUUAACAAAAAGUUUGGAGCAAGAAAAGGACACUUUGACCGAGUCAUAUAAUACUCUACUGGACAAGUGUGCACUGCUUGAGAAGGAGAAGGAAACAUUGGUUGAAAACAUCAAUUUUCUUAACAAGCAAUACACGGAAGCAAGAGAAUCCAACAUGGAAUUUACCAAGACUAUCAUUCAACUCAAAUCGGAUUUGAACAAGUUUUCGUCCGGGUCAAGCAAACUUGAUAAGAUGUUAGGACUCGGUCAAACUAACAAAUUCGGACUUGGAUACGAACGGACAUAUGUCGAUCAAGUAAUGAAGAAAGUAGAUGAACAUUCGACAAAAACGGUUCCGAAGGUCUAUGGUAAGUUUGUUCCUCCCAAGAACGUGUUUGCUAACAAAUCCUGUCAUUUUUG
This 441-nucleotide long non-coding RNA is filed under the name Ananas comosus (pineapple). RNAcentral's name for it is "long non-coding RNA (ACOM_LNC034558)". Lineage: Eukaryota; Viridiplantae; Streptophyta; Magnoliopsida; Poales; Bromeliaceae. The record is from RNAcentral.